CGUGCAGGCGGUUGCUUAAGUCUGAUGUGAAAGCCCUGGGCUCAACCCGGGAAGUGCAUUGGAAACUGGGCAACUUGAGUACGGGAGAGGAUAGUGGAAUUCCGAGUGUAGGGGUGAAAUCCGUAGAUAUUCGGAGGAACACCGGUGGCGAAGGCGGCUAUCUGGACCGAUACUGACGCUGAGACGCGAAAGCGUGGGGAGCAAACA
Molecule: ribosomal RNA, 207 nt
Filed under: uncultured delta proteobacterium
Lineage: Bacteria; Deltaproteobacteria
Description: partial 16S ribosomal RNA
Rfam family: Bacterial small subunit ribosomal RNA
Source: RNAcentral